This 93-nucleotide transfer RNA is filed under the name Caudoviricetes sp. RNAcentral describes it as "tRNA-Ala". Lineage: Duplodnaviria; Heunggongvirae; Uroviricota; Caudoviricetes. The record is from RNAcentral.
GUCUCCGUGGCAGAGCGGCCAAAUGCAGUCAUAGGUGGCACGGUUGGCGGCGCCGCUUGCCGUGUCUCGUCGGUUCGAGUCCGACCGGAGACG